UUGGUCAUUUAGAGGAAGUAAAAGUCGUAACAAGGUUUCCGUAGGUAACCUGCGGAAGGAUCAUUAAUGGGUUAACGCCUUCGGGCACAAUCCCCCCCUUUGUAACCGCGGCCCGGAUUCGGCGCCUGGCGGGGAGCCCCCUCUUUCGCGGAGGGCCCCGCCUGCCGGAAUUAGCCAACCCUGCCUAGAAAAUGAAGUCUGAGAACAAGUUAAAUUAAACAAAACUUUCAACAACGGAUCUCUGGUUCUGGCAACGAUGAAGAACGCAGCGAAAUGCGAUAAGUAAUGUGAUUGCAGAAUUCAGUGAAUCAUCGAAUCUUUGAACGCACAUUGCGCCCCCGGUAUUCCGGGGGGCACACCUGUUCGAGCGCCAUUUCUACCCUGGAGCCUGCUCUGUGAUGGGCCCCGUCCUCGCGGACGGGCCCGAAACCCGUGGGCCCGUCGUCCGGCCCUGAGCGUAGCAAGAGAAAUCCCUCGCUCGGAGUGUUGAUGGUGGCUGCCCCGACCCAUUUUUACAAGGUUGGCCUCGGAUCAGGGGGGAUACCCGCUGAACUUAAGCAUAUCAAUAAGCGGAGGAAAGGGACG
This 585-nucleotide ribosomal RNA is filed under the name uncultured fungus. Its description in RNAcentral is "eukaryotic LSU rRNA". The stretch from base 223 to 373 matches the Rfam family "5.8S ribosomal RNA". The record is from RNAcentral. Lineage: Eukaryota; Fungi.